AGAGUUUGAUCGUGGCUCAGAUUGAACGCUCUCGGGAUGCCUUACACAUGCAAGUCGAACGGCAGCACGGACUUCGGUCUGGUGGCGAGUGGCGAACGGGUCUGUCUUGUAUCGGAACGUGCCCAGUCUCGGGGGAUCUCUACGCGAAAGCGUCUCUCUUACCGCAUACGCCCUACGGGGGAAAGCAGGGGAUCGUCUGACCUUGCACUAUUGGAGCGGCCGAUAUCGGAUUCUCUCUUUGGUGGGGUCUCGGCUCACCAAGGCGACGAUCCGUCUCUGGUUUCUCUGGACGACCAGCCACACUGGGACUCUCUCACGGCCCAGACUCCUACGGGAGGCAGCAGUGGGGAAUUUUGGACAAUGGGGGAAACCCUCUUCCAGCCAUCCCGCGUGUGCGAUCUCUGCCUUCGGGUUGUCUCUCACUUUUGGCAGGAAAGAAACGUCAUGGGUUCUUACCCCGUCUCUCUCUCGGUACCUGCAGAAUCUGCACCGGCUCUCUACGUGCCAGCAGCCGCGGUCUUACGUCUGGUGCAAGCGUUCUUCGGAAUUACUGGGCGUCUCUCGUGCGCAGGCGGUUCGGAAAGAAAGAUGUCUCUUCCCAGAGCUUCUCUUUGGAACUGCAUUUUUCUCUACCGGGCUCUCUUGUGUCAGAGGGAGGUGGAAUUCCGCGUGUCUCAGUCUCUUGCGUCUAUAUGCGGAGGAACACCGAUGGCGAAGGCAGCCUCCUGGGAUCUCACUCUCGCUCAUGCACGAAAGCGUGGGGAGCAAACAGGAUUCUAUACCCUGGUCUUCCACGCCCAAAACGAUGUCAACUCUCUGUUGGGGCCUUCGGGCCUUGGUCUCGCAGCUCUCGCGUCUCUUUCUCCGCCUGGGGAGUACGGUCGCAAGAUUCUCUCUCAAAGGAAUUCUCGGGGACCCGCACAAGCGGUGGAUCUUGUGGAUUCUUUCGAUGCAACGCGAAAAACCUUACCUACCCUUCUCAUGUCUGGAAUGCCGAAGAGAUUUGGCAGUGCUCGCAAGAGAACCGGAACACAGGUGCUGCAUGGCUGUCGUCAGCUCGUGUCGUCUCUUGUUGGGUUCUGUCCCGCAACGAGCGCAACCCUUGUCAUUCUUUGCUACGAAAGGGCACUCUCUUCUCUCUGCCGGUCUCAAACCGGAGGAAGGUGGGGAUCUCGUCAAGUCCUCAUGGCCCUUAUGGGUCUGGCUUCACACGUCAUACAAUGGUCGGGACAGAGGGUCGCCAACCCGCGAGGGGGAGCCAAUCCCAGAAACCCGAUCGUCUUCCGGAUCGCAGUCUGCAACUCGACUGCGUCUCUUCGGAAUCGCUCUUCUUCGCGGAUCAGCAUGUCGCGGUCUAUACGUUCCCGGGUCUUGUACACACCGCCCGUCACACCAUGGGAGUGGGUUUUACCAGAAGUCUUUCUCCUCUCCGCAAGGGG
RNAcentral lists this ribosomal RNA (1439 nucleotides) under uncultured bacterium. Its description in RNAcentral is "bacterial SSU rRNA". It matches the Rfam family "Bacterial small subunit ribosomal RNA". The record is from RNAcentral.